This is a long non-coding RNA of Chiroxiphia lanceolata (lance-tailed manakin), 9148 nucleotides long. RefSeq lists it as uncharacterized. The record is from RefSeq and is a predicted model, not a curated record. Lineage: Eukaryota; Metazoa; Chordata; Aves; Passeriformes; Pipridae. The transcript has 2 exons.
UAAAGUGAAUAGUAUUUGACCCUAUAACAUUAAAUUAAAGACAUUAAUUGCAGAACCUAGAGAAUAUCUUCCAGCAAUAAUUAAAACUCAGGAAUAAAUUUUUCCAUCAUCAUAUAUCACAUUGAAGUGUGGAUACUUAAUGCCUGAUUAUUCAGAUCUGCUCUACAAAACAGUCGAGAAAUGUCCACCACAUAAUUGCUAAUGCUAAUUGAUUUAGUCUAUGGUUUUAAAAGCAGUGAUAUGAAAGGUUCCAAUUGUUUAGAGUGUUGUAAAAUGUGACUGUUAAGUAAGGCAUUUUCAGGAGUUUGGGGAACAUUAUUAAAGUUCAUUUCCAUUGUGCAGCUGCAGGAGUUGGAAUUAUGGAAGUGAAGAAGCUGUAAAAUCGAAAAGGUCAGUAAUGACAUUCAUCUAUUCCAGCUGUCAAAUCAAGGGAAUGUUAACAAAACUAGUCUCUGGUAGAAAAGCUAAUUGUCUACUUGUAUUUUGGCUGCCCCAAUACACAUACUCUACUGUGCCUAAUCCAUAGGAAAGACCACACUGGAACAGUAUAUCAUUUUUUGAACAGGCUUCUUGUAAACAAAUAAACCUAAUUUCCCUAAAUUAGCAAGCUCUAAUGAUUCUGUAACCUAAAUCAGCCUACAAAGCAGCCAAAAGUUUCAAGUUUAAAGAAAACAGUAGGUGAGUAAAGUUCACUUGUAAUCCUGGAAGCUGAGUUUUCAGAGUGCUGAGAGUACAGGGCAAAUUUUAAAUUUUACACUGAUGCAGUCCUGCAAGAAGCAUUUCAAAAAUGUCUCCUGCCAAGGCAUGUUUUAUUACAACAACAUAUAGGAAAGUUUCUUUCACAGACCAAAUCUUUUAUAGAUGACCUGGAUUUAAUGAUCCCACAGUGUGAGGGACCUUGUCUUCAACAGCCCAUUCCCAUGGGGUGAGACAGGGCAAAUGUAAGACACCUAAACACAAAUUAUCAGUGGAGACGGAGCCCACGACCUUUGUUAUGGAAUGACAGGCUCCUGCCACAUGCAAAAAGAGCCCUCAUCAAGAAACAGUGAGAGACUUUUGCUUUUUAUGAUGCACCAAAUCCUGUCUUACACAGAGAAUGACGUCCCUCAGCAACUGAGGCCAAAGAAAAGGGCCCGAGACGUGUACCAUGCAAGGCAUUCAAGGGAAUCCAGUGAUUAACCUACACACUUUUAUUGCAAACCCCCCUGGCUAUUUUCUAUUGCUCUCUAGGUUUGUAUUUUCACCCUAUAUGCUGGAGAUGUUACCAGAGGUUUAUGAGGACUGCUUGAACAACCCCACACAGCUGACACUCGGUGUGAAGACAGUAUUCCCACAGUGCACAUAUACACCACCUCAGAUUUUUAUUUGUCCUGUGUUAUGUAAUAAAAAUGUGACAGAAAAAAUCCAGCUUAACCAAUGACAACAUAAUAACGGGUCAAUAUGUGGGUUAUUUUAAAAAUCUUUCUGCUAUCUGACUUGUUUCCUAUGCAGAAGUGUUGCAAAAGCUAAAAACAAUACCAGCAGUUCAUGAAAUAUUCAGGUGUACAGUUGCAAUUCUUUAAUAAAUGGGAGUGACCUUCAAAACAGACAUCUCAAAGAUUAAGAGAACUUCUCAAAAGAUGGCAUUUGUCACUAAUCAAUGGCUUGAAGAACUUACACUUUUCCUAGCAAUGAAUACAAAAAAGACCUUUCAGGAUUAUACCACUUUAAAAGCAAAUCAUUCACAAAACCCCCACAAAAGAACAUUAAUGAGCUAACAAAACAGCAGAACAAAACAUCACACAAGGCAACUGAAAAGAUAAAUCCCCUUCUGCCUAUCAGUACCUACAUCCAUAUCUGGAUUGGUGGAAAGCCACUGACACAUCCAUCUGCUGUUUCCAGGGGCUGGACAAUGCUUUUCACAUUAAAUACAUGCCUUUUAUUGUGAUACUGUACAUCAAAAUACCUAUAACAUUUUACAAAUGGAUUUCCUUUUUCAUAGUCACACAAGUAUCUUGGCUCUAACUGGGUCACUGUAUUGGAACAGGUGUAAUCUCAGCAGAAUACUGUAGGAAAUCUGGGCUACAUUAAUGGCUGAUCCAAUUACAGCGGAAAUCUCUAGAAAACCCAGAUUUAUUAAGAACCAGGAGAUAAUUACAAUGUACUUCUAGGGAUGACCAGAUGGACAGGCCAGUCUCAAACUCUUUAAGGGCACUGGAGCUGAACAAGAGGUGCUUAUGCCAUUGCCUACGUAGCUGGAGAAAUUCCCAUUCUGAGGACAUGGUAAAAAAGCUGGAGGCUGACUGCAGACACCUGGGGGGGACUCAAUCCCAACACAUCCUGGCCCAGGAAGUAGCAUGGCUUACAUGCUGCUGUGAGGACAGGGUGACAGAGGAAAAGGUCUCCAGGAAAGAAUGACAGCAGGAAUCAAGAAACCCCAGGCAGUUUUUUGUCCAAGGAGACUAUUUACGCAAAAGAGCUCCUUAUGACUUAAUAUCAGGUCCUCUUGACAAGCUGCAUUUUCUCUCCUGAAUAGGAAAUAAAUGCCACCUCCCAGGUGCCCAUCUGAUCUGACACUUAGAAACACAACCAUCUACCACAGGUUUGGACCAGAAAAAGAGAAUGAAAAAUACUUGAUGAAUCUGAGUAUAAAUAGGUCUUUUUACCAAUCCAAAGGCAGGUAAAACUUCAUAGCAGCCUCUAUGAUUUUGGUAACAUGCUUCAUCAGAGAGACCUGCCCUUGUCUCUGGUAAAACUGCACCUGUGAGUCGUCCCAUUAAGGUAAUUUGGAUCUAAGAAGAUGUCUGACGUUAAGCAUUUAGUUAGUUAUGAACUUUGCUGAAUCACGGUCUUUUUUUUUUCAGCUAAAUAUUUUCCCUAAGAAGAUAUAUUAAAUAGUAGAAGAUAAUAUUUCUAAUUUAUGGAACUUCCUGCCAGCUUCAAGCUAGUAAAUAUUUACAUUUUAGCCACUGAUAGCUAAUGUGACCUUUCUGUUAUACACUUUACACCUGUGCUAUAUUUUACUUUCAGUGUUAACAGUCUUUCUAGUCCAUCUUUCAUUAAUAAGCAGUAUUUAAAUAUAUGCAAAUUUCAUAUUUUAGCUGAUGUUUUAGGAACAUUUUUAAGGUCACCCUGUUUGAUCUAUCACAUAGACAUAGCAAAUUUAUGCACCAUAUAUCCUGUCUCUACUUGUUUUUUACCUACAUCUGUCUUCUCUGAUUGCAUUUGAAUGAGCUUAUUUUUUAUUUUAAAUAAAAGAUUUAUGCCUUAGCUAUCAUUUUGCCUUUAUUUGAAAAUUUAAUUUUGUUUCUAGAAGUCUAGAUUAACUUAUUAGAUUUAACUGUCCCUUGUGCAUUGCAGCAAUAGAAGAAGUAUAUUUUCCCCUGUGGAUAGAGUACAUAAACAAAAUGCUCUUGACUUAAAAUAAAGAAUGUUAUUACUCAGACCAGUACAACACAGUCCAGGAUACAAAAACUAGUGUUGUCAUUUUUAAUAAUAAUAGUGACAAAUGGGAAUUGACUAAUAAAUAUGACAACUCACAAAUCCAGCAGCCUCCAAAACCUGGGAAAUGCUUUGCAGAAAAGGCAUGCUCCCCCAAAAGGGUCCCCUACACUUAGGUUAGUGAAUAUCCUUUCAUGACACAGCACCACUGGGACACACAACUUGAUUCCUGAUACUAAUGGAUUUAUUUAAAUGAGGCAGGAAUGAGAAACUGCACCACUGUUUCCAGUUAGUCAGAGGGCUGUUUAUUGAUUCCAGUGGUAUAUCACAUCUUCAGUGUGACACGUUCUUUAGCAUCUCUCAGCAGUGCUACAUUCAUAAUAUUUUCUCUCAAGUCCUGGAAUUUUAGGGCUUUCCUGAAGGGAUAACCAUCUCAUUGCAGUUGCUGCCUGUGGUCCUAGCAAUGUCCCAGACAGCCGAGUUCUCUGGAGCAGGGGGGGGCUGGUGCUUGGGGGAGGUUAAUAUUUUCAAAUGUGUUCAUAUAUUUUGACACUUUUUCCCCAUUUUUCAUUUCUAGAAGUACCUGGGUUUCUGACCAGUUCUCUUAUUUUCUCUUCUCACUGUGACAUCCACGUGGACUCAGACAGAAUCUGGUUUUAAUCAACCUCUACAACUCCUAUAAACACUCAGACCCUACAGCUUGUGAUUCUGCACUUCAACAAUAUGCAGUGUGAACAGAGAAAACAAAAAGCUGAAGGAUAAGUAUUUACCUAUGUUAGUAAACCUUUAGUCACAAAGUGGCAAACCUUGUCCUGGCUCCCUUUGUUAAAUACUGAACAUCAUGAAAACGGGUCUUUUGAGGAGAAAGGAGGAAUUCCUUGUACAAAGAAAACAAUGUAGGUACCUGGUGGCUUUUAUUAUUCACAAAAUAUCAGCUAAGAGUUCAAUGGCACACAUGACUACAAGGUCCCCUACUCCCCCAAUUAAGGGCAACACAGCUGCUAUUUAAUAUCAUCUAUAAGCUAUUUAAUAUAAUGAUGAAGAACAGCAUGGCUACCUACUCUUAAGGAAGGUAGGACAGGGCAAAGCUGAACCUUUUGGCAGCCUUCAGUCUGUGCCACUAUAUGCAUAAAGUGCUAUCAAAUCCAAGUAACUGCAGUAACUGGUCAAUCUUGACAUCAGCCCAGUAAAAGUUCAGUGAAAAUACCACAAGGCACAUCUCCAUGUACACAAAGCCAUCAACAGAAAAGUGGAGCCUUCCCAAGGUUCUUGGAAAAUCUUAUCAGCUCAGAAACACUCUAAGAUACAUAUUUUAGACACAAUCAUUAAUAUGAGCCUCCUGCUGUCCUGUCCUGCUAAAGAAUACGUGACCUCUGUGGCAUGGAAUGACCACACUAGUGGAGGCACUGGGCAGGUAACCAUCCAGCACAGAGGACUUACACUUAUCUGCUCUCCUGGUAGCAGGUUCCUCUGCUGAGGAUCAUGAGUAAAGCCAUUCCAGACUAUUGCUUCUGCUCUGAUAGCAAAAAUUCAUCAAAGAUGUGUUACAUUAAAUCUUAAACGGCCUUUCAAAACAUCAUACAGGACGAAAAUAAAAGGCUAAGACCUGCAAGGAAGCAAACUGUGCAGUACACGCUUAAAGGUUUCUUCAUCAUGCUUAAGAAGUAGAAUAUAUUAUCAUGACAAUUAUUUGUUACAGAUAGCACCUUCGAACACCAAAUAAAUUGUACAAACCACUGCACCAGCAGAGCUGAAAAGACUGCUCCUCCUCCAAAGUGGUGUCGCUUUGAUUUAACAAGUAAUUAAUGAAUACAUAAACCCCGGACAGAACUUUAAUCUAUCCCAGUGCCAAAUAAUUAAUCAUUCAUUCCACGUUUAAUCCUGCUCUGAUAAAUGUAAUUAAUAUUUCACCAUGACACUGCAGAAUAGAACAGUACCUGGGAGCAGAGAAGCCUUCCAUUUCUCCUUUGUUGUAAGUCUGAAGUGAUAACUGCUGUCUACAACUGACAGGUAAUCCAGAAUGCAGUGUUCCCCCCGCAGUUGUAAAUUAGGGUUUAUGCAUGGCAUACAUUGUGAUUGUAAUGAGCCUUUUCUUCUUCUGACCUAUAAUUAAAAAAACACAAAGCAACAUCAACAAAACAAAACACAACAACUAUGAAAAAUAAGUCACCUGAGCUUGGUCAACCAUUUUUCUGACCUGACAGCGUUUGGGAAACCAGAGCUUGCAGUAAUGUUUUGGUCUAUACAAUGUCAGUGACCAUGUGCCAGGGAUGGGGAUAGAGAACAAAGCAUGUGCAGAUUGUCUGCUUCUGUCCACAGAGAGCAGUGCUGUGAGAAAAAGCAACUGGAUGAAGAUUUAAGUCCUAAUUUUACUGCAGCAAAACACUGGCAUCUUUUUUGAAAGCUUAAAGUCUAAUCAAGAAACGUGUUGAUGUGUACAAAAUUAAAUUUCAGGAACUCCUCUGCUGAUUUUUUUCAGGGUGACACAUCUCAGGUAUCCACAUAUUUCAGCAAAGAGUUUUGCGAGGAAGAUUGUAUAAGAAACAAAUUGCUUCGGGAUCCUGCUGCCCAAUUACUCAGAAAAAGAGAGGCAUCUCUUCAGAGUUGUCUCCUUGCUCAGCAUUCUCCAAGCAGCAGUGGCCUACAAGACCAGAGCCUGAGAAACAGCCCCGCAGAUGGAGCUGCAGGGAUCCUUCAUUUAUCAACUACAUGAUUAAUUUGAUGUGGACCAAUACUUGCUCUUGGCUUUGCUCUCUUUGCUCUUUGUUGGUUUUUUGUGUUUUUUUUUUUUUUUUUUUUUUUGUUUUUUUUUUUUUUUGUUUUUUUGUGUUUGGUUUGGUUGUUUUUUUUAUUUAUCUUGUGUUUAUAAUAUCUGCAGUAGAUUCUUUUAUGUAUAAAAACAUAAAAUCAUGUAUUGUAUACAGGUAGUAAAAGCACUGAUUUGUUACUGCAGUGUGUUUCUCAAACUAGCUGAGUUCAUUUAGGCAAUGUACUUUAUCAAAGCUGUAUUUUGCCCACAGCAGAACAAACUGUCAGCUGUUAGAGAGGAAUAAUUAUUUUUCAUAUUAAAAUGUGGCUAUAUGACAGCUCAUUGCAUUCAUUAAACAACUACCUAUUCUUCAGUCUGGAAUCAGAACUGCUUUCAGAGAGUAUCCAGCUUGCUACUGAAAUGAUUUAAAUAGGUCGAGCGUAACACUGUAAAUAUGACCAAGGCAAAAAGCCAGUCAAUAAAACUGUCAGUUUUACCCUAAUAAAGGAGGAAGGCCUUUGCUAUUUCUCUGUAGCAGACAGUUUAUUGUCCAGCUGUAUGCAACAGCUUCAGGACAUCUGGCCACUUAAUCACUGAGUAUCAAGUCCAGAAUGCCAAAGGAGCCACAAGCAAAAUAAUCAGUGGUCUAAUUUUCUUUAGUACUGAAGACCCUGCACAUAGCUCUGACAUCAACAGAUGGUUUUGGUGUGAAAUGCAUGAGAUUUCAACAUUCCUGGUGGCUGUCAGAAAAUGACAAAGAGUUUUGCUGGAACAACAAUCUGAAGAAGCACAUAUUGCCUAGGCGAGGUUAUAUUGCUUAUAUGGUGGGGCAUAAGUCUGGGAAAGACAGGAGGGCAUUUAUCUCUGCCAGGAGAUGGUCAGCCUUGUCCCAGUGCCUGCCUUAAGCCACAGCUGGAAGCAACAAGUGCAUCAGUGGUCCCAGCUGGAAGCAUACACAACAGUCUCAGCCAAGGCAGGGUGGCUGUUAGCUGUUUCUGCUUUGAAAAUAAGGUACCUGGUUUACCUGUAACCUAAUUCAGAGGCAAAAAGGAUGGGCUCAAGACUAUGCCAAAUGCUCAGUACUGCUGGUGCGUAAGGAAAGGGUGUUCUUUGCUCUAGUUACCCUAGAAGCAGCUCCUGCCAAGACUAAAACAUCCACUGAGUUACACAACUAAAUGAACCAGCUCCUUCCCCCUGCAAAGCCUUCUGUAAGGCCUCAGGUAGUCCUGUGCACAUAGAAAUCCCUUUGCUUUAGCAAACACAUCAAUCUCUCACUUUCAUUGCUACAGAUUAGGGCUUAAAAAUAGACUUGACAUCAGGAUUUUCUGGUUUAUACAACAAAGUUAAAGUUCAAUAUAUUGAUAUGAGCUGUAAGGCUUAUUUCCUUCAGGGUGCAAUCAAAACGUGGAUUUCUACAGCUACAAGUGCACAGCUUUGAUAUGACUGCAGGUACAAAAGCUGCUGUGGGAGCCCCCAGGCAGCUGAAGUUAGACAAGACUGAGACCAUACCAGUGGGCAGUGUUGGCCUAUCUGUGUGUUUCCAUUUGGGGAAGGGAUCCCACAUCCUGUGCUUUAAACCAGGAGAGUUCUGGAAAGCAAUUCUGCAUCAUAAUGAUGCCUGCCCUCAUCACCAUUUUCUCAGGACACAUUGCUCCUCCCUAUCUGAUGAGUCUAUGAGGACCUGUGUUAUCUCACAAAAAGGACAGCCAUGGAUCUGGAAAGCCAUGAGGCUUAAGUGAUCUACUCCCCACAUCUGUGUGCUCAGAGGGUCAGUUACAAGGAGGUUGGGCUAACACAGACACUGAAUCUGCUGCAGAACUGAUGGGAGGCAGUUACCAGCUCAUCUGUUUAGUUGUAGUAAAUUAUCACUAAAUCCCCAGGUACCCUUGGACUAUAGAGGCUUCCAAGAUACCAAAAGGGAAGCAUUGAUACAUUACACGGAUGAGGAAAACAAGAGAAGGACAGAGGGUGUUAGGGGUAAAAAUAGGAAAAAAUCCCCAAUAUCCCUUCUUUUCAGGUGAGUCCCUCCUCUACUGAAAUACAGAGCUGUCCUCUGUCACCUACCAUGUUGUUUGUGCUUGUUCAGCUGUGGAGAAAUCCGUCUGAUGAAAUGAAACAUCUCAGCCCAGAAAUGAGGUAGCUGCUAAGUGAGAGUACUGGCUUCACACAGCCAUCAAGGCAAACGCCUUAGGACUGAGCUGUUCAACCUGCAAUGGAAAACAAUUUUGCUUUUUUUUUUCCCACUAGGCAUAAGUCUUCCCUGUCUUUCUGUUGUGCUAGUGAAAGCAAAUUUCACUGGAAACUGAAUCCAUUUACAAAUAUUUUGACAGAUUGAGACAGUUGCUUAGGAAAAAAAAUGAUUAAAUGUAUGCAGAUAAAAUAUAGUGUCAUGUGAACAGCUGCUGCACAGACCCACAGCCUGUGUGGACAUAAUUUUAUUUAUGCUUUUUAAAGUCUAUGUGGGUGUCCCUGUAAAACAGAAAGUGAACAUUACUCCUGUUGGUGAUAAAUUAAAGAAAAAUCUCAGAUGAUUAAUCCCCCAAAAUGUGCAGUCUUGACUUUUUUUUCUUUAGUUUUUUUGUCAGGAAGAUAUCCAUGCAAAAUGGUACCAACACUGCUCUUGUAUACACUCACACGUCCCAUUCUGUAGAUCUCAUUGGCAACACCCUUUGAAGCUGUCUCUGUUUCUGACUGGAACGGGUCAUUAUGUGUGUGCCUCAAUCCACCACUUUUGAAGUAACCUGCAAAGAGAUUGCCAUUAGAAGCCAGUGCAGCAAAACCAACUAUCUUCCAUCUAAAAUAUGACUUGCAUUUUUGUAUCACAUCUUAUUUUUCUAUUUCUAACGUUAUAUUACCUAUCUAUAUAGUUACUCUUCUGUAGGGACAGAGACCAUGCUGUAUCUGCUUUUCCUGUACCAAUUACUGCUAUUUUAAGAUGACUGUGUAGAAAUGUCUGCACAUAAAUAUUAGCUGGAAGUU